Molecule: ribosomal RNA, 253 nt
Filed under: uncultured bacterium
Lineage: Bacteria
Description: partial 16S ribosomal RNA
Rfam family: Bacterial small subunit ribosomal RNA
Source: RNAcentral
UACGGAGGGGGCUAGCGUUGUUCGGAAUUACUGGGCGUAAAGCGCACGUAGGCGGCGAUUUAAGUCGGGUGUGAAAGCCCCGGGCUCAACCUGGGAAUUGCAUUCGAUACUGGAUAGCUAGAGUUCGGCAGAGGGAAGCGGAAUUUCCGGUGUAGCGGUGAAAUGCGUAGAUAUCGGAAGGAACAUCAGUGGCGAAAGCGGCUUCCUGGACCAGAACUGACGAUCAGGCACGAAAGCGUGGGGAGCAAACAGG